Molecule: ribosomal RNA, 501 nt
Filed under: uncultured bacterium
Lineage: Bacteria
Description: partial 16S ribosomal RNA
Rfam family: Bacterial small subunit ribosomal RNA
Source: RNAcentral
AUUGAACGCUGGCGGCAGGCUUAACACAUGCAAGUCGAGCGGAGAUGAGGUGCUUGCACCUUAUCUUAGCGGCGGACGGGUGAGUAAUGCUUAGGAAUCUGCCUAUUAGUGGGGGACAACAUUCCGAAAGGAAUGCUAAUACCGCAUACGUCCUACGGGAGAAAGCAGGGGAUCUUCGGACCUUGCGCUAAUAGAUGAGCCUAAGUCGGAUUAGCUAGUUGGUGGGGUAAAGGCCUACCAAGGCGACGAUCUGUAGCGGGUCUGAGAGGAUGAUCCGCCACACUGGGACUGAGACACGGCCCAGACUCCUACGGGAGGCAGCAGUGGGGAAUAUUGGACAAUGGGGGGAACCCUGAUCCAGCCAUGCCGCGUGUGUGAAGAAGGCCUUAUGGUUGUAAAGCACUUUAAGCGAGGAGGAGGCUACUGAGACUAAUACUCUUGGAUAGUGGACGUUACUCGCGGAAUAAGCAUCGGCUAACUCUGUGCCAGCAGCUGCCGUAA